This 1107-nucleotide long non-coding RNA is filed under the name Marmota monax (woodchuck). The record is from RNAcentral. Lineage: Eukaryota; Metazoa; Chordata; Mammalia; Rodentia; Sciuridae.
CAGCACCAGAGCCCAGCCUGAUCUGAACCUCGCUUUUCUGGCUGGUCACCUGAUGGGUCCCGGGCCUACCUGUUCAUCCCAUGGGAAGCUUUUACUGGUAGGGACCAUCUUUCCCACAUUCCCAGUUGUGCCUGGUACAAGAUCGCGUGUUUCAUAACACCCUGUUACAUAAGAAAUAAUAAAUAACGGUGAUUAAUGACCUCCUCCCCUCAUCCCUGGACUGGCUGGGUCAGACCUCCCAGGGAAGGUACAGGGGAUCCAGGAGGAGGCGAAAGGGAGCACGAGGUGCCCUCAUCUUCCCCAACACCUCCGCAUGUCCUCUCCCACAGGCCACCAGAAAAGCCAAGGCAGAGACUCCAAAGGCCCGAAGAGAAGGGGAGCCCCAGCAUGAGGUUGUAUAGUCCCCAAGGCCCCUCUGAUCCUGCCCCAUCAGGUGGCCCUGUCCCCUGAGGACCACCCUGGUUGAGGAAUGAUUGUCCACUGAGAUGCCCCGCCUGCCCCGGGCUCUGAGCACCUCUGGUGGGUGGGAGGCCCAGGCUGCACUCCAGGGACCAGGCGGGGCUGGGCUGGGCCUUUGGGGGUGGUCUCCUGGGAGGAUUUGUGGCUUUUUUCUCCAACUCUGGAGCAGCAGGGAGGGAGGGAGGAAACCCCUUGGAGGAUGUGGCUGGGCCACUUAGAGGUGAGAGGAAAGGGAGGCUAAGAAGUUGGAAGGGAGGAGCAGAGGAAGGAGCCGGAGACCUCCCCAGAUGCUCCAGGCCCUCUCAUCGCUGCAAGGCCCAGGGACAGAGCCAGUAAUGCCACGAGGGGCACUUCUUAAGGUCAUCAAGGCUCAUCUCUGACCUCCAACAACCUCUACCUGCCCUCUGGGUGGAUAUAAACCCUGUCAUUUGGAUCUUUGCAGACCCAGAACUUGUGGACUUUGUCAAUGAAGGAUGUCUUCCUUAGGUCUAACUUCAACCUUGCUUGCUAUACUUUAUUCAUUCAUUCAUUUUGUAGUACUGGGGACUAAUCCUUGGCUGUUCUAUCACCGAGCUACAUCCCCAGUCCUUUAUAUUCUUUAUUUUGAGACAGGGUCUCUCUAAGUUGCUGAGGCUGGUGUCAAACUUU